GCUCAACUUUGGAAUCGCUCCGGCGAGUUGUAGUCUGGAGGUGGCCACCACGAGGUGUUCUAGCAGCAGGCAAGUCCUUUGGAACAAGGCGCCAGCGAGGGUGACAGCCCCGUACCUGCUUUUGCUAGUGCUUCCUGUGGCCCACCGACGAGUCGAGUUGUUUGGGAAUGCAGCUCUAAGUGGGUGGUAAAUUCCAUCUAAGGCUAAAUAUUGGCGAGAGACCGAUAGCGAACAAGUACAGUGAUGGAAAGAUGAAAAGCACUUUGAAAAGAGAGUGAAACAGUACGUGAAAUUGUUGAAAGGGAAGGGCUUGCACCCAGACACGGUUUCGGCCGGGCCAGCAUCAAGUAGAACGGGGUUAAAAGACUUGGGGAAUGUAGCUACUUCGGUAGUGUUAUAGCCCUUGGUGAUGACCCCUGUUUUGCUUGAGGACAGCGGUCUCUAGGAUGCUGACGCAAUGGUUGCAAGCCACCCGUCUUGAA
RNAcentral lists this ribosomal RNA (482 nucleotides) under Candidozyma auris. RNAcentral's name for it is "eukaryotic LSU rRNA". It matches the Rfam family "Eukaryotic large subunit ribosomal RNA", at positions 107 to 658 of the family's 3401-position model. The record is from RNAcentral. Lineage: Eukaryota; Fungi; Ascomycota; Pichiomycetes; Serinales; Metschnikowiaceae.